This 421-nucleotide ribosomal RNA is filed under the name uncultured bacterium. Its description in RNAcentral is "partial 16S ribosomal RNA". It matches the Rfam family "Bacterial small subunit ribosomal RNA", at positions 359 to 773 of the family's 1533-position model. The record is from RNAcentral.
AUUAUAUGACAAUGGGGGCAACCCUGAUCCAGCCUUGCCGCGUGUUUGAUACAGGUCUUCGGUUUUUAAUCCAUUUUAAGUUGGGAGGAUGGGCUUUUGCUUAAUACCCUGAAGCCUUGACGUUACGCACAGAAUAUUCACCGGUUAACACUUUUUCAGCUGCCGCGGUAAUUCAGAGGGUGCAAGCGUUAAUCGGAAUUACUGGGUGUAAAACGGGCGGAGGUGGUUCAGUAAAAUGAGUGUGAAAUCCCCGGGCGUAACCUGGGAAGUGCUUUUAUAACUGCUGAGAUAAAGUAAGGUAGAGGGUAGUGGAAUUUCCUGUGUAGCGGUGAAAUGCGUAGAUAAAGGAAGGAAAACCAGUGGCGAAGGCGACUACCUGGACUGAUACUGAAACUGAGGUGCGAAAGCGUGGGGAGCAAAC